GGUCUGUAGCUCAGGUGGUUAGAGCGCACCCCUGAUAAGGGUGAGGUCGGUGGUUCAAGUCCACCCAGACCCACCAGAAUUUCGCUGCUCGUCGUUGCUUCCAGGCUCACGUGCUACUCGCACGCUACACCUGAAAGCGCC
RNAcentral lists this transfer RNA (141 nucleotides) under uncultured Marinobacter sp. RNAcentral's name for it is "tRNA-Ile". The stretch from base 1 to 73 matches the Rfam family "tRNA". Rfam says of the family: Transfer RNA (tRNA) molecules are approximately 80 nucleotides in length. Their secondary structure includes four short double-helical elements and three loops (D, anti-codon, and T loops). Further hydrogen bonds mediate the characteristic L-shaped molecular structure. tRNAs have two regions of fundamental functional importance: the anti-codon, which is responsible for specific mRNA codon recognition, and the 3' end, to which the tRNAs corresponding amino acid is attached (by aminoacyl-tRNA synthetases). tRNAs cope with the degeneracy of the genetic code in two manners: having more than one tRNA (with a specific anti-codon) for a particular amino acid; and 'wobble' base-pairing, i.e. permitting non-standard base-pairing at the 3rd anti-codon position. Lineage: Bacteria; Pseudomonadati; Pseudomonadota; Gammaproteobacteria; Pseudomonadales; Marinobacteraceae. The record is from RNAcentral.